This is a long non-coding RNA of Hemibagrus wyckioides, 1211 nucleotides long. RefSeq lists it as uncharacterized. Lineage: Eukaryota; Metazoa; Chordata; Actinopteri; Siluriformes; Bagridae. The record is from RefSeq and is a predicted model, not a curated record. The transcript is spliced from 2 exons.
AGAGAAGACACGUGAUUCCCGACUCUCUUUGUUUCCUGUAUUUACAGAUAAAUAAUAUGAGUAUUUGGGGAAACUUGUUUAAAUUUUGUUACAUCAGUUUAAUUGCGUGGUUUAAUUGCAGCCAUUUAUGAGUUCAUGUAAAAAUCCUAUACUUUUAUUCUCUUUGUGUUGUGAAGUCUGUACAUUGAUGAAAAUGUUAUAUAUAUAUAUAUAUGUCCGUUAAGUUGCCUAUUGAAGUUUAACAUGUUAUUCUUGAGUAAUUCUGAGGUAAAUGUUUAUCUAUUUAUGUAAAAAGCUAAUUUGUUAAGUUGAAUGUUCUGUUGAAGGCUCACUCUGGGCUCGUGCUUGGCGCGCUUACUGAUCACGUGAUCAGCUCAUGCAGAGAGGCGGGUAAUGGCAGCCCACAUAGCAGUUAAUGCUUAAUAUUGUCCUUUAUUGGGAAUUGAAUGUGAAACAAAUGCCACAAAUGUUUUAAACUGUGGAACAGUUAAAAGUUGUACAUAUGUGCAUAAUCUUAGUAAAUUAAUACUAGACUUAACUGUGUUGGUGCAUGAAAGAAUGUGAAUGAGGGAUUUUUGAAUGCUUUUGAAGAAAACCAAGUGUUUGUGGAUGUUACAUGUUGAAUAUUUGUUAAUAAAAUAUACAUACAGAGGAGCUGACAGAGAAGACACACGAUUCCGGACUCUCUUUGUUUCCUGUAUUUACAGUAAUCUGGCUGCUGGGUUUCCGGAGCUGAGACCUGCAAUAAUCUAACAAAUAUAUAUGAAGAGAGAUACCAGUUACAUUUGUGUUACAAGUUCCAGAUCAGGAGAAAGCACAAAUUGACCACUGUCAGUGGAUAUCACAAUGUUACCUUGAAAAUGUGUACAUGUGGCACCUUGCCAGGAAGCAGGUGGCAGGGCUGAGACAAGUUUGUCAGAACAACCCUUGAGAAGCUGUGUUAUUGGCCUUAAGCUUUUGGCCCCUGGCAGAAAUGAGGCAGAUACUCCAUGCGAAGUGUCAGUUCUAUUGAACAUACCAAGUCUUGCAUUGUGUGUUUCUGAGUGGAUUACUGUGUAUGACCUUUGCUUGCCUUUGAUUCCUCUACAAGUUUCGUUUUGUGUAUUUCAGAUUUGUUUGCUCAGUGUUUUUGUUUUCCGGUUUUGACUGUCACCACGUUUCCUGACUGUGUUUUGCCUGCCUAUUGUUAUUAAAGUGCUUAUGGAUCCAAA